RNAcentral lists this ribosomal RNA (300 nucleotides) under uncultured delta proteobacterium. RNAcentral describes it as "bacterial SSU rRNA". It matches the Rfam family "Bacterial small subunit ribosomal RNA", at positions 114 to 429 of the family's 1533-position model. Lineage: Bacteria; Deltaproteobacteria. The record is from RNAcentral.
CGCGUAGGUACGUGCCUCUUAGUUUGGGAUAAGCAUUGGAAACGAUGUCUAAUACCGGAUGUGAUCUUCGGAUUAAAGUCUUCGGACGCUAAGAGAUCGGCCUGCGUCGCAUUAGCUAGUUGGUGAGGUAACUGCUCACCAAGGCAACGAUGCGUAGCGGAUCUGAGAGGGUGAUCCGCCACACUGGGACUGAGAUACGGCCCAGACUCCUACGGGAGGCAGCAGUGAGGAAUAUUGCACAAUGGACGAAAGUCUGAUGCAGCAAUACCGCGUGAACGAAGAAGGUCUAUGGAUUGUAAA